GAUGAACGCUGGCGGCGUGCCUAAUACAUGCAAGUCGAGCGAAUGGAUUAAGAGCUUGCUCUUAUGAAGUUAGCGGCGGACGGGUGAGUAACACGUGGGUAACCUGCCCAUAAGACUGGGAUAACUCCGGGAAACCGGGGCUAAUACCGGAUAACAUUUUGAACCGCAUGGUUCGAAAUUGAAGGGCGGCUUCGGCUGUCACUUAUGGAUGGACCCGCGUCGCAUUAGCUAGUUGGUGAGGUAACGGCGCACCAAGGCAACGAUGCGUAGCCGACCUGAGAGGGUGAUCGGGCACACUGGGACUGAGACACGGCCCAGACUCCUACGGGAGGCAGCAGUAGGGAAUCUUCCGCAAUGGACGAAAGUCUGACGGAGCAACGCCGCGUGAGUGAUGAAGGCUUUCGGGUCGUAAAACUCUGUUGUUAGGGAAGAACAAGUGCUAGUUGAAUAAGCUGGCACCUUGACGGUACCUAACCAGAAAGCCACGGCUAACUACGUGCCAGCCGCCGCAGUAA
This 515-nucleotide ribosomal RNA is filed under the name uncultured bacterium. RNAcentral's name for it is "partial 16S ribosomal RNA". It matches the Rfam family "Bacterial small subunit ribosomal RNA", at positions 28 to 523 of the family's 1533-position model. The record is from RNAcentral.